This 427-nucleotide ribosomal RNA is filed under the name uncultured bacterium. Its description in RNAcentral is "partial 16S ribosomal RNA". It matches the Rfam family "Bacterial small subunit ribosomal RNA", at positions 355 to 774 of the family's 1533-position model. The record is from RNAcentral.
UGGGGAAUAUUGCACAAUGGGCGCAAGCCUGAUGCAGCCAUGCCGCGUGUAUGAAGAAGGCCUUCGGGUUGUAAAGUACUUUCAGCGAGGAGGAAGGCGUUGUGGUUAAUAACCGCAACGAUUGACGUUACUCGCAGAAGAAGCACCGGCUAACUCCGUGCCAGCAGCCGCGGUAAUACGGAGGGCGCAAGCGUUAAUCGGAAUUACUGGGCGUAAAGCGCACGCAGGCGGGCUGUCAAGUCGGAUGUGAAAUCCCCGGGCUCAACCUGGGAACUGCAUCCGAAACUGGCAGGCUAGAGUCUUGUAGAGGGGGGUAGAAUUCCAGGUGUAGCGGUGAAAUGCGUAGAGAUCUGGAGGAAUACCGGUGGCGAAGGCGGCCCCCUGGACAAAGACUGACGCUCAGGUGCGAAAGCGUGGGGAGCAAACA